Molecule: long non-coding RNA, 3958 nt
Organism: Mirounga angustirostris (Northern elephant seal)
Lineage: Eukaryota; Metazoa; Chordata; Mammalia; Carnivora; Phocidae
Exons: 2
Source: RefSeq, a predicted model, not a curated record
CGUGGGGCUGAAGGGAAUGGGGUCGUGGGAGGAAAGGAAGGCUUAGUCUCGGAGGAAAGCGUGGGGGUGGGGAGGAAGUAUAAUUACGAAAACGUCUCUCCUUGGGUCACUUCUGUUGGGGGAUGGGAAACGCAGAUGUACUUUAAAGAAAUGAGGUUUAAAGCUAGAAACAGAACCCUUGUGGCGAAUGAGGUGUAUCUUAUGUUUCGGUGGAAUCGGUGCAAAUUAGGGGUGGGGGAGAGUGACUUCAGGCGCUUUGGUUCUGCUUCUAAAAGAAGAAUUCUUGUUUGAGGGUCAGAAUUGACCAGAGACGCUCCCGCAGAUGUCAUGGCGCUUCCUAUUCUCGGUGCUUAAAAACUUCAGCUGUAAGAGAAAGGCUCUUGGGUUUUCUAGGGGGAAGAAUCAUAAGAAACUCAUAGGGGAGAUCAUUGAAAUCUGGCGGGUCCCGAAUAAUUGGGAGUCGGUGUAGAAGUCUCCUGGCGGCUGAAAUGUAGUGAAUGAGCCUAGUCAAAACUUCAUCGACUCUGGGCAGGUUACACAAGAGUGAUACCCAACUCCUGUGACAACACUUACUGAUUUAAAAGCUCUAGAGAGGCAAUAUAAUUAAGAAUGUGAACUUUGGGGUAAAAAUACUCCAGUUAGAGUUCUAGGAGUGGACAAGUUAUUUGUAUGCCUCUCUAAAAUGAAUACUUGUUAUGUAUGAACAAUAGUUGAGUGCCUAGUAUGUUCUAGACACCAGGGAUGCAGCAGUGAGCAAAACUAGGUUUCUAGAUUUUAUUUUAGGAUUAAAGAGGAUAAUGUGUGACUUUGAACAGGCCCCUAGCACAUGGCACUCAGAUUAUUAUUACUGCUAUUUAAUAUCACUAUUUUUAAUCCUCAGAAACUUUAAUUAAAGAACUUCCCUGGUUUAGUUCUUUCAUUAAUACCAGAUUGUCUUCUGUUGUAAAUAUUUUGAAAAUAUGCGUAAUACAGAAACUGGAUAUAAUAGUUUCCAAAUUGGAGAAAGUGUUUAUGUGGGACUGUUAAUUCAACCUAUAGAAAGUUUUUGAAAGGCACGUGGCUUGGUAUCUGGCUGUUAGUGUCAGAAUCACAGGAUGAAACUUGAAGAAAAACAAAACAAAAAAUCCAAGAUCCAAACAGAAUUUUAGUGAGUAGAGAGGUAAUGGGAAAUGGCUCAUUUAGGGACCUCUGUUCUAGAAAUAUGAGGUCAAGUAGGCAUUGAUGUUAGUAUAGUAUUUCUUGUGUCAUGUAUCUCUUUGUUUUGAAUUUACUGUCUGAAGCCCCCAAAUUCCAAACAUUAAGAUGUCCGUAUUCGUUGUUGAUACUUUAUUGAAAUGUUUAUCAUUGGGAUAUUUUUAGCCAUUAGUAGUCAUCUGGUCAAGCCUUAGGAUUUGUUUUUUCCUAAAGCUACGUUGCAGUAUUUUGAGUAUUUCUUAGACCAGGCAGCCUUAUCAAAUAAUCUUACUUGGUUUUCUACUAUAUUAUUUAUUUAAUAAGCUGUAGUAUGGUUUUAUAGGGCUAUUUAUUAAACAACAAGAAUCAAAAAUGGGAACUCCCAAGUUGAUUAGUGGUGUUUGAGGACCAUAGACUAUUUUACUACUCCUAUUAAACAGAAUAACUAUGGUGCUUGUAUUUUGGGGAAGUUUAAAAAGAACUUUACAUAAAAUAUGUGAGCCGAGCCUAGAGGAUUAAUGUUUUGAGUGUUUGCAAUGUGUCAGAACUAUUUGAGACACCUGUAUUAACUCAUUUAAUAUUACAACAACUCAAGGAAGUAGGUACGAUUAAAUUGUUACCCCAUUCUGUACCUGAGGCACAGAAAGGUCAAAAAACACCCAGAGUUAUACCAUGGCAGAAUUGGGAUUUGAACCUGCACAGUCUGGCUCCACAAUGUGUCUUAACUGUUCUGUCAUCCUUUAGGUUUUUGAUAAUCAAAAAGGUUUUCUUUUGCAUUAUUGUACUGCUAAUAAUAGUUAGGACUUAGCAUUUACUAUGUACCAAGCACUGUUCCUAAGCCCUUUAUAAGAAUCAACUCAUUAAUCCUCACAACAGUUCUCUUGAGAUAGAUGCUCUUUACCAUUCAAUAUUAUACAUAAGGAAACAGGCACAGAGAGGUUAAGUUCCUUGUCUAGUCACACGGCUAGUUAAGUGACUAAGAGAUCAGAUAGUCUACCUCAAGAGCUUAAGUUCUUAAACUCCAUGCUGUUCUGCUAUUCUGAACCAUUUCGAUUUCUGUUCCAUCAAAUGAAUGAAUGUUACUUGGUCUUGCUACCUGAGAUAAGCUAUUGCUUUCCUUUCCCAGUUCACAUUUAAAUAAUUGGGAUUUGACUUUACUCUUACUCUCAGGUUAUAGCUAACUUGUGAACUAAGCCGUUCACUAACCUAAGUUUUGAAAGUAGGAGUGAGUUUCUUUUUGAUUAAUCUCUUCAGGGACUAUGGGAACUACCAGGUGCCAACUAAUUGCUAGGGGUAUCUUAAAAUACACUUAUCCCCAAAGAGCCUGUAGGCUGGAUACAUGGUUUUGCAGGGGUUUCUUUAAGACCCUCAAGGUGCUUCUGUAGCCAGCUAAAUUUGUGGGAUGGUUGUGUGACUCAUGGAUGCUAAUCACGGUGACCUUGGUGUUUAAUUUUAUUAAGAGUGACUUUAACAUUGCUUUUAUCAUCCUCAUCUGCAGUAUUGUAGUUUUCGUUGUUCCUACAAAUACAAAGUUGAAUACUCUUACUAGAACUAGGGGGAAAACUACUACUUGUAUCUGUUGUUAGGUUAUAUGUUACUUAAUUCAAGGAUUCAGUACCCCUUGUCAGUCUAAUACACAGUCAAUUCUUGAAAAUUUUCCAAAUCCUUUUGACUAUAAUGAUCCUUUUCUAGUAAAGAAGAUACUAGCUUUCUACUACUGACAUAAAAGUUUUCAGAUUAAAGUCUCUAAUCUUAGAUUGGGUUUUGCAUUGUAUAUUUGUGGGUUUUGACAUGAGUUGCAUUUAUGUAUCAGGAUAUUGAGCAGAGAUCUUAAAAAAUAUAGUAUAUGGGAUCUUAGCAGAUUUAUGGAAUCAUUUUCUCUGGGAACAGGCAUAAUUUUGAAAUGUCCCCUAGGUGAUUCUGAGGCCUGCCUCUGGUUAAGACCCACAGACCUAGGGAUACUCAUUUAAUCAAUACUUCGGUUUUGCUCUGUUUGGCACAGUAGGCUAGUCCCAGGAGAUAAAAAAUAAGGAAGCCUUGUCAUUACCCAUGAGAAUCUCUGCUUUGAGUGGAAGAAACAAGCACAUAAACACAACGAAUAGGUGUUUGUCACUUUGCACAACUUAGCUUUCAAGAAUAUAAAUCAAGUAUGAGAAACACUUACUGAAAAGAAAUUAAAAGGGAAUCUUUAGUCAUAUUGUCAGAUUUACCCAUUAUUAUUAAAGGUAGUUUAAAUAUUUUACCUAUACUAGAUUUUGUCAUUUUAGAGUGGUUUUUCUAACUAUACUUAAUUCUCAGUGUCGAACUAUUUUGAAAUUAGCAAAGUUAAAGUAUUUUCAUUCUUUAACUGGAAAAUUUGUGUUCUUGAUUUGGUUUUGCUACAACAGCAAUGAUCUUAUUUGAAAAUUGAACAGUGUAAUUAAGAACAGAUGCGUUUAGUGAAUAACUUACUAGCCAAGUUAACCUUGGUAGAUAAGAUUCUCAAAACUACCCUCUGCCUUGUUAUUUGGGGAAGAGAAAAAUUCAAUAAAGUGUUCUAUACUUUCCCUUAAACAUUGAUUUUUAUCUCCAAUACUUUCAACAUAAUCUUGUAUCAUUCAGACUUUGAACUUUUCAUAGCUGGAUUUGUCAUAUUUUGGCCUUGUAGGUUUCAUUUGUGAAUCACUACUUGGUUACUUACUCAUUUUUAGGAUAGAGUACUUGUUCACAUUCAUCCUAGCCUUGUUAUCAUUUCAAAGCUAAUGUAUAAUUGGAUGUUUUCCACCACUGGACUGCUGUUAAUUUU